RNAcentral lists this transfer RNA (85 nucleotides) under Psychrosphaera sp. RNAcentral's name for it is "tRNA-Tyr". It matches the Rfam family "tRNA". From Rfam's summary of the family: Transfer RNA (tRNA) molecules are approximately 80 nucleotides in length. Their secondary structure includes four short double-helical elements and three loops (D, anti-codon, and T loops). The record is from RNAcentral. Lineage: Bacteria; Pseudomonadati; Pseudomonadota; Gammaproteobacteria; Alteromonadales; Pseudoalteromonadaceae. RNAcentral also lists the same sequence under 6 other names.
GGAGGGGUUCCCGAGUGGCCAAAGGGAUCAGACUGUAAAUCUGCUGGCUCUGCCUUCGGUGGUUCGAAUCCACCUCCCUCCACCA